GGUAAACAACCUCACCUGGUUGGCAAACAACCUCACCUGGUUGGCAUAAAAGUAUGUCAGAUUUAUAAUGUUUUCAGCAAACUGAACCAUGUCCUUGAAAAGCUGCUCUUGAACAGAGCAAAAAAAGCUUUGAUUAGUUUCUGCUAAGUAAAUAAACAAGGGAAAACCCAAGUUUUGUAACUUGUUGAAUCUGUGCACUUAACUUUCUGAAAAUGGAGAUAAAGUCUGUUCUACAAUAAGAGCUAUGUUUGAGACAGUGUAACUAAAGUACAAAUUUGGCUUCUUUCGUUUAGCUCUGUUCUUUCCCUUGCAGUCCUUUCUAUCCUUUGUCUUGUUUGCUCCUCCACCCAAGUAUGCCAUCACCCUGCAACUGUUCCCUGCAAUGCUUCUGACCAUCACAGCAACAACAAUGCAGAGAUGAAGGCUGGGGAAAUAAAGAGAGCACUUACGGUUGAAUCACGCUGAAGCUCAGGAAACUGAAAUCAAGAGGAUGUGAAGUUCACUCAUCACCUGGUGGCAUAAGGGAGGCCAUAAGGAGGCUGGGAGCAUUCAGAGCUCAGAACUGCUGCUCCUGUUUGCUCCAAGGAUGGAAGAUCCAAGAUGCUUCCUUGCACAGUAUCACCUUCCCAGUUCUGAAAAGAGUGGCUACUCUUUGACCUGGAGAGGCCACUCUGGAUGUGUAGAUGGAACUGCUCGUUACAGUGAUUUCCCAGACAGACCGGGCCCUUGCUGGGGAUGCAUACGGAUGAUCUUUGAAGUAAAACUUCUUCUCCAUUGUCAAUUAGACCCACUCUUCAGAAUGAUUUGGUGACUGUAAUACUGGUAGCACCUUGCUUAAUAUAUUUAUAGGCAUGCACACAGGUGAAAGUUUGUGAGUAUGUCCUUGUUUCACUCAUUGUAAUUCUGCAAUAACUUCAAAUAUAUCUAUAUUUGCUUUACUCUUGUUAUAGAUACAUAU
Molecule: long non-coding RNA, 958 nt
Organism: Pseudopodoces humilis (Tibetan ground-tit)
Lineage: Eukaryota; Metazoa; Chordata; Aves; Passeriformes; Paridae
Source: RefSeq, a predicted model, not a curated record